This 256-nucleotide ribosomal RNA is filed under the name uncultured bacterium. RNAcentral describes it as "partial 16S ribosomal RNA". It matches the Rfam family "Bacterial small subunit ribosomal RNA", at positions 526 to 779 of the family's 1533-position model. The record is from RNAcentral.
CGUAGGUGGCAAGCGUUGUCCGGAUUUACUGGGGUGUAAAGGGCGUGUAGGCGGGGCUGCAAGUCAGAAGUGAAAUCUAUGGGCUUAACCCAUAAACUGCUUUUGAAACUGUGGCUCUUGAGUAUCGGAGAGGCAGGCGGAAUUCCUAGUGUAGCGGUGAAAUGCGUAGAUAUUAGGAGGAACACCAGUGGCGAAGGCGGCCUGCUGGACGACAACUGACGCUGAGGCGCGAAAGCGUGGGGGAGCAAACAGGAUU